GACGAACGCUGGCGGCGUGCUUAACACAUGCAAGUCGAACGGUGAAGGGACCAGCUUGCUGGUUCUUGAUGAGUGGCGAACGGGUGAGUAACACGUGAGUAACCUGCUCCCUUCUUCUGGAUAACCGCAUGAAAGUGUCGCUAAUACGGGAUAUUCUGGGUCUGUCGCAUGGCGGGCCCGGGGAAGCUAUGGCUUCGGUUGGGGAUGGGCUGGCGGCCUAUCAUCUUGGUGGUGGGGUGUUGGCCUACCAAGGCGGGGACGGGUAGCCGGCCUGUGGGGGGGGAGGGUGACACGGGGACCGGGCACAGGCGCAGAGUGCUACGGGCGGCAGCCGUGGGGAAUAUAGCAGAAUGGGAGAAAGCAUGAUGCAGCGACGCCGCGUGCAGGAUGGAGGCGUGCGGGUUGUAGGCCUUUUUGGUGAGUGACGCAGGCCUGUGCGAUGUAGGUGGGUUGACGGUAGCUGGAAAAGAAGCGCCGGCUAACUACGUG
This 489-nucleotide ribosomal RNA is filed under the name uncultured bacterium. RNAcentral describes it as "partial 16S ribosomal RNA". It matches the Rfam family "Bacterial small subunit ribosomal RNA", at positions 28 to 507 of the family's 1533-position model. The record is from RNAcentral.